RNAcentral lists this ribosomal RNA (468 nucleotides) under uncultured bacterium. Its description in RNAcentral is "partial 16S ribosomal RNA". It matches the Rfam family "Bacterial small subunit ribosomal RNA", at positions 28 to 507 of the family's 1533-position model. The record is from RNAcentral.
GACGAACGCUGGCGGCGUGCUUAACACAUGCAAGUCGAACGGAAAGGCCCUGCUUUUGUGGGGUGCUCGAGGGGCGAACGGGUGAGUAACACGUGAGUAACCUGCCCUUGACUUUGGGAUAACUUCAGGAAACUGGGGCUAAUACCGGAUAGGAGCUCCUGCUGCAUGGUGGGGGUUGGAAAGUUUCGGCGGUUGGGGAUGGACGAGCGGCUUAUGAGCUUGUUGGUGGGGUAGUGGCUUACCAAGGCUUUGAAGGGUAGCCGGCCUGGGAGGGUGACCGGCCACAUUGGGACUGAGAUACGGCCCAGUCUCCAACAUUAGACAGCAGUGGCAAAUAUUGCACAAUGGUCGGAAGCCUGAUGCAACAACGCCGCGUGCGUGAUGACGUCCUUCGGGUUGUAAACCGCAUUCGCCUAUUACGAAGCUUGAGUGACGGUAAUGAAUAAAGAAGCACCGGCUAGCUACGUG